AGAGUUUGAUCCUGGCUCAGAACGAACGCUGGCGGCAGGCCUAAUACAUGCAAGUCGAACGCUCCAGCAAUGGAGAGUGGCAGACGGGUGAGUAACGCGUGGGAACCUUCCCAGUGGUACGGAAUAGCUCAGGGAAACUUGAGGUAAUACCGUAUACGCCCUUCGGGGGAAAGAUUUAUCGCCAUUGGAUGGGCCCGCGUCGGAUUAGCUAGUUGGUGGGGUAAUGGCCCACCAAGGCGACGAUCCGUAGCUGGUCUGAGAGGAUGAUCAGCCACACUGGGACUGAGACACGGCCCAGACUCCUACGGGAGGCAGCAGUAGGGAAUAUUGGACAAUGGGCGAAAGCCUGAUCCAGCCAUGCCGCGUGAGUGACGAAGGCCUUCGGGUUGUAAAGCUCUUUUGGCGGGGACGAUAAUGACGGUACCCGCAGAAUAAGCUCCGGCUAACUUCGUGCCAGCAGCCGCGGUAAU
This 470-nucleotide ribosomal RNA is filed under the name uncultured soil bacterium. RNAcentral's name for it is "bacterial SSU rRNA". It matches the Rfam family "Bacterial small subunit ribosomal RNA", at positions 8 to 524 of the family's 1533-position model. The record is from RNAcentral.